Molecule: RNA transcript, 2609 nt
Organism: Gallus gallus (chicken)
Lineage: Eukaryota; Metazoa; Chordata; Aves; Galliformes; Phasianidae
Gene: HSF2BP
Gene name: heat shock transcription factor 2 binding protein
Exons: 9
Source: RefSeq, a predicted model, not a curated record
GCCGCCGGGCGGUGCUUGGUGCCAUGCGGCGCUGCGCGGGGCAGGCGGGCGACGCGCAGAAGGAUGAAACCAACGAGGACUUUGUUCAAGUUAGAAGGAGGGAUUUGGAAAGGCUGACGACCGAGGUUAUGCAACUGCGGGAUUUCUUACCCAAGGUACUCGAUGGUGAUAUUGUGUGGACCUUCCAGAAACUGGAUGCUAUUGAAUCAAGCGUGGAGAAAAAGGAGGAGGAAAUAGAGCAGCUGAAAAUGGAUUGUGAGCACUUCAGAGCCCGCCUGGAAGCAGCCCAGGCAGAUUGCAUGAGGGAGAAGAAGGAGAAACUAGACCUCCGGCAGCACCUGCAUGAGGCCAAGCAGCAGCUCCUGCAGCAAGCAGAGUAUUGCACAGAAAUGGGUGCAGCUGUCUGCACCUUGUUGUGGGGUGUAUCUAACAACGAGGAGGCUGUUAAAACCAUUCUAGGAGGAAGCAAGACAGCAAAGUUUUUUACUAUCACUGCACAGACUAUGGAGAGCUUUGUGAAGUCACUAAGUGAAGACACAAAACAGCAGGAUUUGGAUUCUGAUGAAAAUCAGUUUGUGUUAGCGUUGGCAGGGAUUGUAACAAAUGUGGCUGCGCUGGCAUGUGGCCGUGAGUUCUUGGUUAGUUCAAGUCCUGACCUAUUGGACACAAUGAUGCACCUCCUGGGAGAGAUGAAGCCGGGACUCUGUACGAAGUUUAAAGUGCUAAUGCUAAUGUCACUAUACAAUGUGAGUAUCAACUUGAAAGGCUUGAAGUACAUCAGUGAAAGUCCGGGUUUUAUUCCUUUGCUUUGGUGGCUCUUGAAUGCCAGGAUCUUCACCUUCUGCUGGCCUUGAUUAGAUUAUGAACAUCUGGAGUUGCCACGGUGUAAAGUCUUACAUUUUUUUUCCAUGCAAGAGAACCGAGCAAUGCGGUUUGCUGUCAGCGUCCCGUAUGUGCUGCCGUCCUACAGGAAGCUUCUUCAAAGAUUGUUUUGGCUAAGGCUUGAGAGAUGAUUCAGCUUUCCACAGUUCUCUAAGCCUUUAUCAGCGCUCUCACUAAGACAGUCCUCUGAAAGCAUCCUCUGGCUUUUUUUUUUUUUUAAUUUUCAGAGAAUCAUCCUGUUUGCUGUCGCCAAUCUACGAGUGUCCGUGAUCUCAGACUAUACAUCAAGAGCAAUGGCUUGUAUACAACAGAUAAAUCCCUCAAGUUCUUUCUCAGAAUUUUUAGUUACUUCCCAAUCUUCUUGUCCCCCGAGGAAGAAUGUCCUUCUCAUUAAGUGAAGAAGAGAACAAACACACACGAUAACUUGAUUCUCUUUAUUCUCCCUUGUUAUAACUAAAGCAAAGAGUGGUUUGAUUCAGAUUGUUUGGUAGACUUCUUUGAAAUAUGCCAUGACAUCGAACACAUGGAUGGUAAGAGAAAGGAGGCAAACCUGGUAAUGAUUCCUAGUGGAGAAAGAAUGUUGACAACAAAGGGUUUUUGUCUGUUCUGCUGUCUUUAGAAAAUUUGGAUGAGCCGGAAUGUCUUCACAUGCACUAAAAAGAAUCCUUAAUAGCUCCUUCUGCUGGAGGCUAUACUGAAAACAGGUGAAAAGCAAAUGCUUGACACACUUUCUGAAGGUAAUGCAGAGCUGUGUAGCCUUAGCACUGUAUGACAUAGGCUGUUCUCUUCCUCUUUUUUCCUCCCUUAUAAAGUACUGCCUGAGAGGUGGGGCAUCCUUUAAUAAGCAACAGUGAUCACUGAAGAAAACAGUCCCAUAGCUAUGCAGCUGUUGUAUUCUUGCAUAGCUAUCACCUAUCCCUACCUGUAUGUUCCCAGCCUGGUGCCAGCAUAAAAUAUAUAAAAUACGUGAAUGAUGACUCAGAUUGCUGUCUGUGAAGCAGCUUGUGGAAUUAGUAGGCUUCUCUUCUCAUGGAGCACCAUUUGUGUGUAGAGCAGCUGUUGCUGUCUUGGAGGAUAUAGGCAGCUUUAGUUUUCUCCAUCUCCAUCUGCUGUCCCUGUGUUGAUAUCUUGGCUAAAGGUUUUAUGUAACUUUCAGAUUUCAGGAAGCUCUGUCCUCAGCAGUAGGAAGAGAAGUUAUAUAACUUUGGAUAGAAAUCCUCUUGAGAUUUGUCGGUAUUUUUUUGCUGGUGCUUUACUUCUGUAGCUGCAUUAAGACUUUCAAUCUGCCAUUUUCAAAGAGGUAGACUGAGACUUUUCCCUGCAAGGGAUCUUUUGAAGAAGUUGGAGACAACUCAGGUGUUACUGGUAAGGCUAAGUUUGCUUUUCAUUUUAAAUCAUACAGAGCAUUUACAGACAAGUGAGUGCUGGAGAAAAUUGGUCUGGGCUCUUCAGGUUUUUUUUAACUAUGCAUCUAUCUUAUUUUCCUUUUUUUUCCCCAAUUAUUGCAGUUCUUGUUGGACACAUAAGAGGUGGAAGUCAGAGAGACCGUGUCACUGACAUUUCCCAUCCUUGCUGGGAAAUUGCUCCAGACCCGGAUACAGAAGUUUGUCUUCAUGUUCUGCGGCUCCUCCAGUCUGUGAUUCUGGAGCCAGAAGUAUUAGCCAAGUCAGCCUGUGAGAUGCGUGACACUUUGCCAUUUCAACGUAUCAUUACACUGUCAAAGAGCC